UCAGUCUACUCAGGGUCAGAGGUCAGAGUCUACUAUUACCCAGGUAGGUGAUGUCAGUCUACUCAGGGUCAGAGGUCAGAGUCUACUCUUACCCAGGUAGGUGAUGUCAGUCUACUCAGGGUCAGAGGUCAGAGUCUACUCUUACCCAGGUAGGUGAUGUCAGUCUACUCAGGGUCAGAGGUCAGAGUCUACUCUUACCCAGGUAGGUGAUGUCAGUCUACUCAGGGUCAGAGGUCAGAGUCUACUCUUACCCAGGUAGGUGAUGUCAG
Molecule: long non-coding RNA, 269 nt
Organism: Oncorhynchus keta (chum salmon)
Lineage: Eukaryota; Metazoa; Chordata; Actinopteri; Salmoniformes; Salmonidae
Exons: 3
Source: RefSeq, a predicted model, not a curated record